AUGCAGGUCAUGGAGAAAGCCCAUAUCAUGAAGACUGAGCUCCAGAUGAUUGAAGAGAUAAUGCGUACGAACGGCUGCAGGAGGUUGAGCGUGAGAAGGUGGACGCUCGUCAGCCUGUACAGUAAGAUGACUAUCAGAGAUGUGUCCCGAGGAGAUGAGCCCCAAACCCUUGUUAAAACUGGGAGUUCAGAGCUUGUUCCCCGCAGUAGAUUAUUUGUUUUGUCUUUGGUUUGGUUGGUUGUCGCCGAACACCUAUGCCGUGACGACGAUGCAUUUCAUGUCUAUAAUGCAUUCUGCAGUGUAAGUCAUUAG
This 312-nucleotide ribosomal RNA is filed under the name Triticum aestivum (bread wheat). RNAcentral's name for it is "partial small subunit ribosomal RNA". Lineage: Eukaryota; Viridiplantae; Streptophyta; Magnoliopsida; Poales; Poaceae. The record is from RNAcentral.